AUGAACGCUGGCGGCGCGCCUAACACAUGCAAGUCGAACGAUUAAAGCACCUUCGGGUGUGUAUAAAGUGGCGAACGGCUGAGUAACACGUGGGCAACCUGCCCCUCUCAUUGGGAUAGCCACGGGAAACCGUGGAUAAUACCGAAUACUUCGGGACUUCCGCAUGGAAGACUCGAGAAAGCUCCGGCGGAGAGGGAUGGGCCCGCGGCCUGUUAGCUUGUUGGUGGGGUAAUGGCCUACCAAGGCAAUGAUGGGUAGCUGGGUUGAGAGACCGACCAGCCAGAUGGGGACUGAGACACGGCCCAGACUCCUACGGGAGGCAGCAGUGGGGAAUCUUGCACAAUGGGCGAAAGCCUGAUGCAGCGACGCCGCGUGCGGGAUGAAGGCCUUCGGGUUGUAAACCGCUUUCAGCAGGGACGAGGCGAAAGUGACGGUACCUGCAGAAGAAGCCCCGGCUAACUACGUG
This 466-nucleotide ribosomal RNA is filed under the name uncultured bacterium. Its description in RNAcentral is "partial 16S ribosomal RNA". It matches the Rfam family "Bacterial small subunit ribosomal RNA", at positions 29 to 507 of the family's 1533-position model. The record is from RNAcentral.